UAUUCAGAUUGCCUGUGGAAUGA
Molecule: non-coding RNA, 23 nt
Filed under: Cricetulus griseus (Chinese hamster)
Lineage: Eukaryota; Metazoa; Chordata; Mammalia; Rodentia; Cricetidae
Source: RNAcentral